CUAAGAAUAUUCCGCAAUGGACGGAAGUCUGACGGAGCGACGCCGCGUGGAUGACGAAGGCCGAAAGGUUGUAAAGUUCUUUGCUGGGGAAGAAUAACCGCAGGAGGGAAUGCCUGUGGGAUGACAAGAACCGGCGAAUAAGCCCCGGCCAACUACGUGCCAGCAGCCGCGGUAACACGUAGGGGGCGAGCGUUGUUCGGAAUUACUGGGCGUAAAGGGCAUGUAGGCGGCUUGGAAAGCCUGGCGUGAAAGUCUGCAGCUUAACUGCAGGGGUGCGCUGGGAACUGCUGAGCUUGAGUGACGGAGAGGGAGCUGGAAUUCCUGGUGUAGGGGUGAAAUCUGUAGAUAUCAGGAAGAACACCGAUGGCGAAGGCAAGCUCCUGGCCGAUGACUGACGCUGAGGUGCGAAAGUGUGGGGAUCAAACAGGAUUAGAUACCCUGGUAGUCCACACAGUCAACGAUGUGCACUAGGUGCUGGGGCGGUAGCUUCGGUGCCGGAGCGAACGUGGUGAAGUGCACCGCCUGGGGAGUAUGCUCGCAAGGGUGAAACUUAAAGG
Molecule: ribosomal RNA, 557 nt
Filed under: uncultured bacterium
Lineage: Bacteria
Description: partial 16S ribosomal RNA
Rfam family: Bacterial small subunit ribosomal RNA
Source: RNAcentral